Molecule: ribosomal RNA, 244 nt
Filed under: Vibrio vulnificus
Lineage: Bacteria; Pseudomonadati; Pseudomonadota; Gammaproteobacteria; Vibrionales; Vibrionaceae
Description: partial 23S ribosomal RNA
Rfam family: Eukaryotic large subunit ribosomal RNA
Source: RNAcentral
UGCGGGAGGAACCGGAAGCGGGGUUACGGUGCCCAACUGCGCGCUAACCUAGAACCCACAAAGGGUGUUGGUCGAUUAAGACAGCAGGACGGUGGUCAUGGAAGUCGAAAUCCGCUAAGGAGUGUGUAACAACUCACCUGCCGAAUCAACUAGCCCCGAAAAUGGAUGGCGCUUAAGCGCGCGACCUAUACCCGGCCGUCGGGGCAAGAGCCAGGCCUCGAUGAGUAGGAGGGCGCGGCGGUCG